RNAcentral lists this ribosomal RNA (458 nucleotides) under uncultured bacterium. Its description in RNAcentral is "partial 16S ribosomal RNA". It matches the Rfam family "Bacterial small subunit ribosomal RNA", at positions 338 to 795 of the family's 1533-position model. The record is from RNAcentral.
CCUACGGGUGGCAGCAGUGGGGAAUAUUGCACAAUGGGGGAAACCCUGAUGCAGCGACGCCGCGUGAGUGAAGAAGUAAUUCGUUACGUAAAGCUCUAUCAGCAGGGAAGAAACACUGACCUUACGGUCAGCAGACGGUACCUGAGUAAGAAGCCCCGGCUAACUACGUGCCAGCAGCCGCGGUAAUACGUAGGGGGAAAGCGUUAUCCGGAUUUAAUGGGUGUAAAGGGAGUGUAGACGGGGCGCCAAGUCUGGGGUGAAAGGCCGCAGCUUAACGGCGGAACGGCUUUGGAAACUGGCGAACUAGAGUGCGGGAGGGGUAAGCGGAAUUCCUAGUGUAGCGGUGAAAUGCGUAGAUAUUAGGAGGAACACCGGUGGCGAAGGCGGCUUACUGGACCGUAACUGACGUUGAGGCUCGAAAGCGUGGGGAGCAAACAGGAUUAGAUACCCCAGUAGUC